Molecule: ribosomal RNA, 245 nt
Filed under: uncultured bacterium
Lineage: Bacteria
Description: partial 16S ribosomal RNA
Rfam family: Bacterial small subunit ribosomal RNA
Source: RNAcentral
UACGAAGGGGGCUAGCGUUGUUCGGAAUUACUGGGCGUAAAGCGCGCGCAGGCGGUCCUUUAAGUCGGGGGUGAAAGCCCAGAGCUCAACUCCGGAACUGCCUUCGAAACUAGAGGACUUGGGUACGGGAGAGGUGAGUGGAAUUCCGAGUGUAGAGGUGAAAUUCGUAGAUAUUCGGAAGAACACCAGUGGCGAAGGCGGCUCACUGGCCCGUUACCGACGCUCAGGCGCGACAGCGUGGGGAG